RNAcentral lists this ribosomal RNA (459 nucleotides) under uncultured bacterium. RNAcentral describes it as "partial 16S ribosomal RNA". It matches the Rfam family "Bacterial small subunit ribosomal RNA", at positions 338 to 795 of the family's 1533-position model. The record is from RNAcentral.
CCUACGGGUGGCAGCAGUGAGGAAUAUUGGUCAAUGGCCGGAAGCCUGAACCAGCCAAGUCGCGUGAAGGACGAAGGUCCCACGGAUUGUAAACUUCUUUUGUCCAGGGAUAACAUCAGGCACGUGUGCCUGUCUGCAGGUACUUUAAGAAUAAGGAUCGGCUAACUCCGUGCCAGCAGCCGCGGUAAUACGGAGGAUCCGAGCGUUAUCCGGAUUUAUUGGGUUUAAAGGGUGCGUAGGCGGGCUGUUAAGUCAGCGGUAAAAUCGCGGGGCUCAACCCCGGCGAGCAGUUGAAACUGGCCGUCUUGAGUUGACGAGAGGUAGGCGGAAUGCGCGGUGUAGCGGUGAAAUGCUUAGAUAUCACGAAGAACUCCGAUUGCGAAGGCAGCAUACCGGCGUGCAUCUGACGCUGAGGCUCGAAAGUGUGGGUAUCGAACAGGAUUAGAUACCCCUGUAGUC